AGCGCAGGCGGUGCGGCAAGUCUGAUGUGAAAGCCCGGGGCUCAACCCCGGCACUGCAUUGGAAACUGUCGUACUAGAGUGUCGGAGGGGUAAGUGGAAUUCCUAGUGUAGCGGUGAAAUGCGUAGAUAUUAGGAGGAACACCAGUGGCGAAGGCGGCUUACUGGACGAUAACUGACGCUGAGGCUCGAAAGCGUGGGGAGCAAACA
RNAcentral lists this ribosomal RNA (207 nucleotides) under uncultured bacterium. Its description in RNAcentral is "partial 16S ribosomal RNA". It matches the Rfam family "Bacterial small subunit ribosomal RNA", at positions 568 to 774 of the family's 1533-position model. The record is from RNAcentral.